RNAcentral lists this ribosomal RNA (1095 nucleotides) under Gottfriedia acidiceleris. RNAcentral describes it as "bacterial SSU rRNA". It matches the Rfam family "Bacterial small subunit ribosomal RNA", at positions 35 to 1114 of the family's 1533-position model. Lineage: Bacteria; Bacillati; Bacillota; Bacilli; Caryophanales; Bacillaceae. The record is from RNAcentral.
GAGGGCGACGUGCUAUACAUGCAGUCGAGCGGACUAAUGGGAGCUUGCUCCCGUUAGUUAGCGGCGGACGGGUGAGUAACACGUGGGCAACCUACCUGUAAGACUGGGAUAACUUCGGGAAACCGGAGCUAAUACCGGAUGACAUAAAGGAACUCCUGUUCCUUUAUUGAAAGAUGGCUUCGGCUAUCACUUACAGAUGGGCCCGCGGCGCAUUAGCUAGUUGGUGAGGUAACGGCUCACCAAGGCGACGAUGCGUAGCCGACCUGAGAGGGUGAUCGGCCACACUGGGACUGAGACACGGCCCAGACUCCUACGGGAGGCAGCAGUAGGGAAUCUUCCGCAAUGGACGAAAGUCUGACGGAGCAACGCCGCGUGAGCGAUGAAGGCCUUCGGGUCGUAAAGCUCUGUUGUUAGGGAAGAAUAAGUGCUAGUUAAAUAAGCUGGCACCUUGACGGUACCUAACCAGAAAGCCACGGCUAACUACGUGCCAGCAGCCGCGGUAAUACGUAGGUGGCAAGCGUUGUCCGGAAUUAUUGGGCGUAAAGCGCGCGCAGGCGGUUUCUUAAGUCUGAUGUGAAAGCCCCCGGCUCAACCGGGGAGGGUCAUUGGAAACUGGGAAACUUGAGUGCAGAAGAGGAAAGUGGAAUUCCAAGUGUAGCGGUGAAAUGCGUAGAGAUUUGGAGGAACACCAGUGGCGAAGGCGACUUUCUGGUCUGUAACUGACGCUGAGGCGCGAAAGCGUGGGGAGCAAACAGGAUUAGAUACCCUGGUAGUCCACGCUGUAAACGAUGAGUGCUAAGUGUUAGAGGGUUUCCGCCCUUUAGUGCUGAAGUUAACGCAUUAAGCACUCCGCCUGGGGAGUACGGUCGCAAGACUGAAACUCAAAGGAAUUGACGGGGGCCCGCACAAGUGGUGGAGCAUGUGGUUUAAUUCGAAGCAACGCGAAGAACCUUACCAGGUCUUGACAUCCUCUGACAACCCUAGAGAUAGGGCUUUCCCUUCGGGGACAGAGUGACAGGUGGUGCAUGGUUGUCGUCAGCUCGUGUCGUGAGAUGUUGGGUUAAGUCCCGCAACGAGCGCAACCCUUGAUCUUAG